Molecule: long non-coding RNA, 499 nt
Filed under: Mus musculus (house mouse)
Lineage: Eukaryota; Metazoa; Chordata; Mammalia; Rodentia; Muridae
Description: long non-coding RNA chr3:100955440-100955939
Source: RNAcentral
CGCCAUGAAGGUGUCAGGCACACUUCGGGGUACCAGGCAGGGCGCUGCUUGCCCACCCUGAAGUGCCGCACAGAGCCACUGUACUGAAUGAGCAUCUUUGCAUCCAACCACGCGGUGGCCAGGCCUCAUUUCCAGUACCUCGUGUCACGGGUGAAGAAGUCAGUCUUCCAGGGAGACAGUGUACUGCAGGCAGUGUCUGAGAAGUAGCACUGCACGUGAAGACCUUUGGCAUCUGGCCGUGCUAGGACCCCCACUCUGGCACACACAACAUGCACUGGGAGCAAGGGAACCUAACAAUCACUGGCGGGGUCACACCAUGUUCACACAUAUGUGAAACCAUGUUCCGUGCCCACGAGCACUCCUUCCAGAUCAUGAAGGUAAAAGAGGGUGUAGCCAGCUGGGCAUCAAGCAGUUUCAUGGCUUCAAGUUACCAUAGCCCCACCAAGUGCUUCCAUGACAGCAAAAGCCUUGCUGCACUACCAAGAGGCCCAACAACUUC